AGUGAACGCUGGCGGUAGGCCUAACACAUGCAAGUCGAACGGCAGCACAGUAAGAGCUUGCUCUUACGGGUGGCGAGUGGCGGACGGGUGAGGAAUACAUCGGAAUCUACUUUUUCGUGGGGGAUAACGUAGGGAAACUUACGCUAAUACCGCAUACGACCUACGGGUGAAAGCAGGGGAUCUUCGGACCUUGCGCGAUUGAAUGAGCCGAUGUCGGAUUAGCUAGUUGGCGGGGUAAAGGCCCACCAAGGCGACGAUCCGUAGCUGGUCUGAGAGGAUGAUCAGCCACACUGGAACUGAGACACGGUCCAGACUCCUACGGGAGGCAGCAGCGGGGAAUAUUGGACAAUGGGCGCAAGCCUGAUCCAGCCAUACCGCGUGGGUGAAGAAGGCCUUCGGGUUGUAAAGCCCUUUUGUUGGGAAAGAAAAGCAGCAGGUUAAUACCCCGCUGUUCUGACGGUACCCAAAGAAUAAGCAUCGGCUAACUUCGUG
RNAcentral lists this ribosomal RNA (492 nucleotides) under uncultured bacterium. Its description in RNAcentral is "partial 16S ribosomal RNA". It matches the Rfam family "Bacterial small subunit ribosomal RNA", at positions 29 to 507 of the family's 1533-position model. The record is from RNAcentral.